RNAcentral lists this ribosomal RNA (253 nucleotides) under uncultured bacterium. RNAcentral's name for it is "partial 16S ribosomal RNA". It matches the Rfam family "Bacterial small subunit ribosomal RNA", at positions 524 to 776 of the family's 1533-position model. The record is from RNAcentral.
UACGGAGGUGGCAAGCGUUGUUCGGAUUUAUUGGGUGUAAAGGGUAUGUAGGUGUCCUGACAAGUCGAACGUGAAAUCCCUUGGCUUAACCAAGGAACUGCAUUCGAUACUGUCAGGAUUGAGCGUGGAAGAGGAGAGCGGAAUUCCCGGUGUAAGGGUGAAAUCUGUAGAUAUCGGGAGGAACACCAGUGGCGAAAGCGGCUCUCUGGUCCAAUGCUGACACUGAAAUACGAAAGCUAAGGGAGCAAACAGG